RNAcentral lists this small nuclear RNA (324 nucleotides) under Ursus americanus (American black bear). Its description in RNAcentral is "7SK RNA (ENSUAMG00000023122.1)". It matches the Rfam family "7SK RNA". Rfam says of the family: 7SK was discovered as an abundant small nuclear RNA in the mid-70s but a possible function has only recently been suggested. The record is from RNAcentral. Lineage: Eukaryota; Metazoa; Chordata; Mammalia; Carnivora; Ursidae.
GGAGUUUAAAAAACAAGUGGCACUAGGAUCUGUCACCCCAUUGAUUGCCAGGGUUGAUUGGGCUGAUCUGGCUGGCUAGGCAGGUGUCCCCAUCCUCUCUCACUGCUCCAUGUGCGUCCCUCCCAAAGCUGUGCACUCAGUGGAAGAGGACAACCUUAUAGAGGACCGUUCUUUGCUCAAGGGCAUAGAGUAGCUGCACUCUCCUGCUAGAACCUCCAAACAAGCUCUCAAGUCCAUUUGUAAAGGAACAUAGGAUAGUCACGUUUUUCCAAGACUCCAGACAUGUCCAAAUGAGGCACUGCAUAUGGCAGUCUACCUUUCUUU